CUCACUCUUUCUAGGUUGGACCUGAAAAUGCUUCACAGGUUAUUUUGUCCAGUCCCGUACUGAAUGAAGGGGAGCUUGAGUCCUUGCUAAAUGAUCCCUCUUUGAAA
Molecule: long non-coding RNA, 107 nt
Organism: Quercus lobata
Lineage: Eukaryota; Viridiplantae; Streptophyta; Magnoliopsida; Fagales; Fagaceae
Exons: 2
Source: RefSeq, a predicted model, not a curated record